This 468-nucleotide ribosomal RNA is filed under the name uncultured bacterium. Its description in RNAcentral is "partial 16S ribosomal RNA". It matches the Rfam family "Bacterial small subunit ribosomal RNA", at positions 28 to 507 of the family's 1533-position model. The record is from RNAcentral.
GACGAACGCUGGCGGCGUGCUUAACACAUGCAAGUCGAACGGAAAGGCCCUGCUUUUGUGGGGUGCUCGAGUGGCGAACGGGUGAGUAACACGUGAGUAACCUGCCCUUGACUUUGGGAUAACUUCAGGAAACUGGGGCUAAUACCGGAUAGGAGCUCCUGCUGCAUGGUGGGGGUUGGAAAGUUUCGGCGGUUGGGGAUGGACUCGCGGCUUAUCAGCUUGUUGGUGGGGUAGUGGCUUACCAAGGCGUUGACGGGUAGCCGGCCUGAGAGGGUGACCGGCCACAUUGGGACUGAGCUACGGCCCAGACUCCUACGGGAGGCAGCAGUGGGGAAUAUUGCACAAUGGGCGGAAGCCUGAUGCAGCAACGCCGCGUGCGGGAUGACGGCCUUCGGGUUGUAAACCGCUUUCGCCUGUGACGAAGCGUGAGUGACGGUAAUGGGUAAAGAAGCACCGGCUAACUACGUG